Molecule: long non-coding RNA, 1306 nt
Organism: Mytilus californianus (California mussel)
Lineage: Eukaryota; Metazoa; Mollusca; Bivalvia; Mytilida; Mytilidae
Exons: 2
Source: RefSeq, a predicted model, not a curated record
GUUGCUCUUUUUAUUGGUAUGAUGUCGUCGUCGUCCGAAGACACAAUGGUUUUCGCACUCUAACUUUAGUUAAAGUGAAUGGAUCUCUAUGAAAUUUUACCAUAAGGUUCAAUACCACAAAAGGAAGGUUGGGAUUGAUUAACGGGGGUAAUGGUACUAACAGUUAAGGAAUAAGGGGCCAAAAAGAGGCCAAAAAUAAGCAUUUUUGUAACUUCCAGACAUAACUUGUGUGUUAGUGUAUGGAUCUCUCUGACAUUUUACCACAAGGUUCCAUAUCACAAAGGGAAUGCUGGGAUUGAUUUUGGGGGUAAUUGCCUAAAAUUUAGGAAUUAGGGACCAAAAAAGGGGCAAAAAACAAGCAUUUUUCUAGUUUCAUGACAAUAACUUGUAUGUAGAUGUAUGGAUCUUUCUGAAAUUGUACUACAAGGUUCCAUAUCACAAAGGGAAAGCUGGAAUCGAGUUUAGGAGUAAUUGCCCAAAACAUUUAGGAAAAAGGGCCCAAAAAUAAGCAUUUUUCUAGUUUCCAGUCAAUAACUUGUGUUUAAGUGUAUGGAUCUCUCUGAAAUUGUACUGCAAGGUACCAUACCACAAAGGGAAGGCUGGGAUUGAUUUUGGGGGUAAUUGCCUCAAAAUUUUUAGGAAUUAGGGGCCAAAAAAUGGCAAAAAACAAGCAUUUUUUUCCUUAUUUUCCUUUUUUUUUUUCUUUAAAAUUUUCCAUUUUAAGUUGGUUAUUUCCGAUUUAUAUAUAAAGCAAAUAAUAAUGAUAUGGUUUGAAUAGGUAAAUUAAAAAUUUUUAAGUUCUUAGACCACAUUCAUUCUGUGUCAGAAACCUAUGCUGUGUCAAAUAUUUAAUCACAAUCCAAAUUCAGAGCUGUAUCAAGCUUGAAUGUUGUGUCCAUACUUGCCCAAACUGUUCAGGGUUUGACCUCUGCGGUCGUAUCAAGCUGUGCCCAGCGGAGCAUUUUAUUUGUGUAUUUCUUAAAUGUCCUAAUAUUUGAUGUAUGACUGCUCAGUUUUACAUGCCUAAAUUACUUCUUAGGUUUUUAUGAAAUUUAUAUUAGCAAUGACUCAAAACAAAUCAGUGCCAAUCAACUACGAUAUUUUUGGAAAUAUUGGAAUUUUUGUACCAAUUCUUUCCUAAUUCACUGGCCUCCCAAACCGGAACUAGCCAGAUUAGCUUCUAAAUCUAUGCACACUGAAAUAUAUUUCACAAUAAUUAUCAUGUCUGUGUACAUAUGAACAUACUGAGUAUUAACUGUUAAAAAAAAUGACUAUAUUUUUAGAGCAGCUGAGAUUCAAGUAUGUA